RNAcentral lists this long non-coding RNA (1344 nucleotides) under Cyanistes caeruleus (blue tit). RNAcentral describes it as "lncRNA (ENSCCEG00000009579.1)". Lineage: Eukaryota; Metazoa; Chordata; Aves; Passeriformes; Paridae. The record is from RNAcentral.
AGAUCGGGUUCUAGAUCGGGUUCUAGAUCGGGUUCUAGAUCGGGUUCUAGAUUUCAGUUUCACUUUCGGUUUCACUUUCACUUUCAGUUUCGGUUUCACUUUCACUUUCGGUUUCGGUUUCACUUUCACUUUCGGUUUCACUUUCGGUUUCGGUUUCACUUUCGGUUUCACUUUCACUUUCGGUUUCAGUUUCAGUUUCACUUUCUCCUUUCGGUUUCACUUUCACUUUCGGUUUCGGUUUCACUUUCGGUUUCAGUUUCACUUUCACUUUCAGUUUCAGUUUCACUUUCACUUUCGGUUUCACUUUCACUUUCAGUUUCAGUUUCACUUUCGGUUUCACUUUCACUUUCGGUUUCAGUUUCACUUUCGGUUUCACUUUCACUUUCGGUUUCAGUUUCACUUUCACUUUCGGUUUCACUUUCACUUUCGGUUUCAGUUUCACUUUCACUUUCAGUUUCACUUUCACUUUCGGUUUCACUUUCACUUUCAGUUUCACUUUCGGUUUCGGUUUCACUUUCAGUUUCACUUUCACUUUCACUUUCGGUUUCACUUUCACUUUCAGUUUCACUUCCGGUUUCGGUUUCACUUUCACUUUCGGUUUCAGUUUCACUUUCGGUUUCACUUUCGGUUUCACUUUCGGUUUCACUUUCACUUUCGGUUUCACUUUCACUUUCACUUUUGGUUUCACUUUCACUUUUGGUUUCACUUUCACUUUCGGUUUCACUUUCAGUUUCAGUUUCGGUUUCAGUUUCAGUUUCAGUUUCACUUUCGGUUUCACUUUCACUUUCGGUUUCGGUUUCACUUUCGGUUUCACUUUCACUUUCGGUUUCAGUUUCAGUUUCACUUUCGGUUUCGGUUUCACUUUCGGUUUCGGUUUCACUUUCGGUUUCACUUUCACUUUCGGUUUCACUUUCACUUUCGGUUUCACUUUCAGUUUCAGUUUCACUUUCGGUUUCAGUUUCACUUUCGGUUUCGGUUUCACUUUCGGUUUCGGUUUCGGUUUCACUUUCGGUUUCGGUUUCACUUUUGGUUUCAGUUUCACUUUCGGUUUCACUUUCACUUUCGGUUUCACUUUCGGUUUCACUUUCGGUUUCACUUUCACUUUCAGUUAGGGUUAGGGUUAGGGUUAGGGUUACGGUUAGGGUUAGGGUUAGGGUUAGGGUUAGGGUUAGGGUUAGGGUUAGGGUUAGGGUUAGGGUUAGGGUUAGGGUUAGGGUUAGGGUUAGGGUUAGGGUUAGGGUUAGGGUUAGGGUUAGGGUUAGGGUUAGGGUUAGGGUUAGGGUUAGGGUUAGGGUUAGGGUUAGGGUUAGGGUUAGGGUUAGGGUUAGGGUUAGGCCCCUUAGG